RNAcentral lists this ribosomal RNA (421 nucleotides) under uncultured Alphaproteobacteria bacterium. RNAcentral's name for it is "bacterial SSU rRNA". It matches the Rfam family "Bacterial small subunit ribosomal RNA", at positions 400 to 841 of the family's 1533-position model. Lineage: Bacteria; Pseudomonadati; Pseudomonadota; Alphaproteobacteria. The record is from RNAcentral.
CGUGAGUGAAGAAGGCCCUUGGGUUGUAAAGCUCUUUCGUCGGGGAAGAAAAUGACUGUACCCGAAUAAGAAGGUCCGGCUAACUUCGUGCCAGCAGCCGCGGUAAUACGAAGGGACCUAGCGUAGUUCGGAAUUACUGGGCUUAAAGAGUUCGUAGGUGGUUAAAAAAGUUGGUGGUGAAAUCCCAGAGCUUAACUCUGGAACUGCCAUCAAAACUUUUUAGCUAGAGUAUGAUAGAGGAAAGCAGAAUUUCUAGUGUAGAGGUGAAAUUCGUAGAUAUUAGAAAGAAUACCAAUUGCGAAGGCAGCUUUCUGGAUCAUUACUGACACUGAGGAACGAAAGCAUGGGUAGCGAAGAGGAUUAGAUACCCUCGUAGUCCAUGCCGUAAACGAUGUGUGUUAGACGUUGGAAAUUUAUUUUC